This 484-nucleotide ribosomal RNA is filed under the name uncultured bacterium. Its description in RNAcentral is "partial 16S ribosomal RNA". It matches the Rfam family "Bacterial small subunit ribosomal RNA", at positions 30 to 507 of the family's 1533-position model. The record is from RNAcentral.
AUUGAACGCUGGCGGCAGGCCUAACACAUGCCAGUCGAGCGGAUGAAGGGAGCUUGCUCCUGGAUUCAGCGGCGGACGGGUGAGUAAUGCCUAGGAAUCUGCCUGGUAGUGGGGGAUAACGUCCGGAAACGGGCGCUAAUACCGCAUACGUCCUGAGGGAGAAAGUGGGGGAUCUUCGGACCUCACGCUAUCAGAUGAGCCUAGGUCGGAUUAGCUAGUUGGUGGGGUAAAGGCCUACCAAGGCGACGAUCCGUAACUGGUCUGAGAGGAUGAUCAGUCACACUUGAACUGAGACACGGUCGAGACUCCUUCGGGGAGCACCAGGGGGGAAUAUUGGACAAUGGGCGGAAGCCUGGUCCAGCGAUGCCGCGUGUGUGAAAAAGGUCUUCGGAUUGUAAAGCACUUUAAGUUGGGAGGAAGGGCAGUAAGUUAAGACCUUGCUGUUUUGACGUUACCAACAGAAUAAGCACCGGCUAACUUCGUG